GCUAAACAUCAAAAUUGGAUUAUCAAAUACUCAUUUGAUAAUUAAGAUAAUAUUUUAAUAUUCAUUUACAAUUUAUUUACUCCAACCAUGGUUAUCUAAAUCAAUAAUCAAUUGGAAGUUUUUUAGUGGUUUUAUUUGUAAUUGCCACGUGUCAUUUUUUGAUUGGAUGUUUAGAUAGUUAUUUUUUUGAUAACUCAAU
RNAcentral lists this long non-coding RNA (199 nucleotides) under Erythranthe guttata (spotted monkey flower). Its description in RNAcentral is "long non-coding RNA (EGUT_LNC000918)". Lineage: Eukaryota; Viridiplantae; Streptophyta; Magnoliopsida; Lamiales; Phrymaceae. The record is from RNAcentral.